Molecule: long non-coding RNA, 402 nt
Filed under: Phasianus colchicus (ring-necked pheasant)
Lineage: Eukaryota; Metazoa; Chordata; Aves; Galliformes; Phasianidae
Description: lncRNA (ENSPCLG00000019616.1)
Source: RNAcentral
GCUUUUUUCCUUCUCUUAAGUUAAUUGUGGACUUAAGUUACAGAUAUACCUACACAAAUAAAUGCACAGUAAGAUGCUACAAUAAAAGAAACUGGAUGGGGGGAAAAAACUUAGAAAAAAAAUGCUGUUCCAUGGCACAACUGCCUAUGUGCUGGGAUGGUGCCAUGGUUGAAAAUCUGCCCCUGUGAGGACCUCUCCACUGCUGCUGGGCCUCACCUCAGUCCAAGCUACUUCCCCUGGUUUAUACCCCCUCAGCUUCUGCUCCAGAAGUCAGUGAAGACUCCAAGGCUUACAUUUAUAUUGUGGAAACCAAGAACUUAUCCCCAAGACCCCAAGACUGGAGCUAAGGUGUACUGUGCCCUGAAGAGAACUCCUCUGAAGAGACUCAUACAGAAAAGCUGA